GAAAUCUUCAAAGUAAAUCUUUUGUUAAUUCAAUCGGUUCUACUUUGGUCUUGGAGGUUAUUGCAGCUUCACACCUGCUCCUCUUUGUUCAUUAGCUGGAUCUCAGUGUUAUGCUUGGUUCCACUCAGCGUGAUAAGUAUCUAUCGCUGAGGACACUGUAACAAGUGGCCAAGGGAAAUGCAGAUGAACCGCUUCUAAUGCUCCAUUUAUUUGGACAACAUUUUUUAUGAUCUGAUCUCAAAUCAGGUAGGACUACCCGCUGAACUUAA
Molecule: unclassified non-coding RNA, 269 nt
Filed under: Ceratobasidium sp. AG-Fb
Lineage: Eukaryota; Fungi; Basidiomycota; Agaricomycetes; Cantharellales; Ceratobasidiaceae
Description: ITS2
Source: RNAcentral